GCUGUCGACAUGGGGUGUGUGUCCACGCGAGCUGCCUACCUAGACAGCAUUGAGCAUCGCAGGGGGCACCGACUGUCAUGUUUUCCUGGACUGCAUGCACCAGCCAAGCAACUACCAUAGAGAUGAAGUGCUAUGACAAAUAGAUCUCCAGAAUGGAUCAGUCAUUACUCAGAAGUUUUCUACAGUUGACACAGGAGCCGGGAUAGGCCAAUUACAGCAGGACCGUUACUCAACCUUGCGAUCCCUAGAUCACCUCACCUUCAUUAAACGUCUACCCUCUUUCACAUCAGCAUCCCAACAGAAAGCCAAUGUGCCCUGCCAGUCUCUUUUUUCUUCAACCUGGGACUGUUUAGACAAGCUUUUAUCUUAAGCUCAAGAUCACUGUGGUCUCAGCAUAAAU
This is a long non-coding RNA of Sinocyclocheilus rhinocerous, 400 nucleotides long. RefSeq lists it as uncharacterized. The record is from RefSeq and is a predicted model, not a curated record. The transcript has 3 exons. NCBI's taxonomy places the organism in Eukaryota, Metazoa, Chordata, Actinopteri, Cypriniformes, Cyprinidae.